AUACGUAGGGUGCAAGCGUUAAUCGGAAUUACUGGGCGUAAAGCGUGCGCAGGCGGUUUUGUAAGACAGUGGUGAAAUCCCCGGGCUCAACCUGGGAACUGCCAUUGUGACUGCAAGGCUGGAGUGCGGCAGAGGGGGAUGGAAUUCCGCGUGUAGCAGUGAAAUGCGUAGAUAUGCGGAGGAACACCGAUGGCGAAGGCAAUCCCCUGGGCCUGCACUGACGCUCAUGCACGAAAGCGUGGGGAGCAAACAGGAUUAGAUGCCCUGGUAGUCCACGCCCUAAACGAUGUCAACUGGUUGUUGGGGAUUUUUUCUCAGUAACGAAGCUAACGCGUGAAGUUGACCGCCUGGGGAGUACGGCCGCAAGGUUAAAACUCAAAUGAAUUGACGGGG
RNAcentral lists this ribosomal RNA (393 nucleotides) under uncultured bacterium. Its description in RNAcentral is "partial 16S ribosomal RNA". It matches the Rfam family "Bacterial small subunit ribosomal RNA", at positions 523 to 918 of the family's 1533-position model. The record is from RNAcentral.